This 460-nucleotide ribosomal RNA is filed under the name uncultured bacterium. RNAcentral's name for it is "partial 16S ribosomal RNA". It matches the Rfam family "Bacterial small subunit ribosomal RNA", at positions 338 to 795 of the family's 1533-position model. The record is from RNAcentral.
CCUACGGGCGGCAGCAGUGAGGAAUAUUCGGCAAUGGGCGCGAGCCUGAACCAGCAAAGCCGCGUGAAGGAUGACUGCCCUACGGGUUGUAAACUUCUUUUAUAAAGGAAUAAAGUGAGGCACGUGUGCCUUUUUGUAUGUACUUUAUGAAUAAGGAUCGGCUAACUCCGUGCCAGCAGCCGCGGUAAUACGGAGGAUCCGGGCGUUAUCCGGAUUUAUUGGGUUUAAAGGGAGCGUAGAUGGGUUGUUAAGUCAGUUGUGAAAGUUUGCGGCUCAACCGUAAAAUAGCAAUUGAUACUGGCAGCCUUGAGUACAGUUGAGGUAGGCGGAAUUCGUGGUGUAGCGGUGAAAUGCUUAGAUAUCACGAAGAACUCCGAUUGCGAAGGCAGCUUACUAAACUGCCACUGACAUUGAUGCUCGAAAGUGUGGGUAUCAAACAGGAUUAGAUACCCUGGUAGUC